UGCCCCUUGGCUGAGUUGGUUACAGCGUCCGACUGUUAUCGCUCAAUCGGAAGGUCGUGAGUUCGAGCCUCACAGGGGCAG
This is a non-coding RNA of Cylindrobasidium torrendii FP15055 ss-10, 81 nucleotides long. Lineage: Eukaryota; Fungi; Basidiomycota; Agaricomycetes; Agaricales; Physalacriaceae. The record is from the annotation of a GenBank genome assembly.